Molecule: ribosomal RNA, 697 nt
Filed under: uncultured Actinomycetales bacterium
Lineage: Bacteria; Bacillati; Actinomycetota; Actinomycetes; Actinomycetales
Description: bacterial SSU rRNA
Rfam family: Bacterial small subunit ribosomal RNA
Source: RNAcentral
CAAGUCGAACGGAAAGGCUCCUUGCUUGCAAGGGGUACUCGAGUGGCGAACGGGUGAGUAACACGUGGGUGAUCUGCCUUGCACUUCGGGAUAAGCCUGGGAAACUGGGUCUAAUACCGGAUAGGACCAUGCUUUAGUGUGUGUGGUGGAAAGUUUUUUCGGUGCAAGAUGAGCCCGCGGCCUAUCAGCUUGUUGGUGGGGUAAUGGCCUACCAAGGCGACGACGGGUAGCCGGCCUGAGAGGGUGUACGGCCACAUUGGGACUGAGACACGGCCCAGACUCCUACGGGAGGCAGCAGUGGGGAAUAUUGCACAAUGGGCGCAAGCCUGAUGCAGCGACGCCGCGUGGGGGAUGAAGGCCUUCGGGUUGUAAACUCCUUUCGCUAGGGAAGAAGCCACUUGUGGUGACGGUACCUGGAUAAGAAGCACCGGCUAACUACGUGCCAGCAGCCGCGGUAAUACGUAGGGUGCGAGCGUUGUCCGGAAUUACUGGGCGUAAAGAGCUCGUAGGUGGUUUGUCGCGUCGUCUGUGAAAUCCCGGGGCUUAACUUCGGGCGUGCAGGCGAUACGGGCAUAACUAGAGUGCUGUAGGGGAGACUGGAAUUCCUGGUGUAGCGGUGAAAUGCGCAGAUAUCAGGAGGAACACCGAUGGCGAAGGCAGGUCUCUGGGCAGUUACUGACGCUGAGGAGCGAAAGCA